RNAcentral lists this ribosomal RNA (198 nucleotides) under uncultured bacterium. Its description in RNAcentral is "partial 16S ribosomal RNA". It matches the Rfam family "Bacterial small subunit ribosomal RNA", at positions 328 to 539 of the family's 1533-position model. The record is from RNAcentral.
ACGCUCGACACCUACGGGAGGCAGCAGUGGGGAAUAUUGCACAAUGGGGGAAACCCUGAUGCAGCGACGCCGCGUGGAGGAAGAAGGUCUUCGGACUGUAAACUCCUGUUGUUGGGGAAAAAGAGGAUGGUACCCAACAAGGAAGUGACGGCUAACUACGUGCCGGCAGCCGCGGUAAUCUGAGCGGGCUGGCAAGGC